RNAcentral lists this ribosomal RNA (835 nucleotides) under uncultured organism. Its description in RNAcentral is "bacterial SSU rRNA". It matches the Rfam family "Bacterial small subunit ribosomal RNA", at positions 664 to 1510 of the family's 1533-position model. The record is from RNAcentral.
GAAUGUAUCAUGUAGCGGGUGAAAUGCAUAGAUUUGAUACAGAACACCGAUAGCGAAGGCGGCUUACCAAACUGUAACUGACGCUCAUGCACGAAAGCGUGGGGGAGCAAACAGGAUUAGAUACCUGGUAGUCCACGCUGUAAACUAUGAUCACUCGCUGUUGGCGAUACACUGUCAGCGGCUUAGCGAAAGUGUUAAGUGAUCCACCUGGGGAGUACGAUCGCAAGGUUGAAACUCAAAGGAAUUGACGGGGGCCCGCACAAGCGGAGGAGCAUGUGGUUUAAUUCGAUGAUACGCGAGGAACCUUACCUGGGCUUAAAUGCAGAACGACCUCCCGAGAAAUCGGGACUUCCUUCGGGACGGACUGCAAGGUGCUGCAUGGUUGUCGUCAGCUCGUGCCGUGAGGUGUCGGGUUAAGUCCCAUAACGAGCGCAACCCUUAUCCUUAGUUGCCAACAGGUAAUGCUGGGAACUCUAAGGAAACUGCCUACGCAAGUAGUGAGGAAGGUGGGGAUGACGUCAAAUCAGCACGGCCCUUAUGUCCAGGGCUACACACGUGCUACAAUGGUCGGUACAGAGGGCAGCUACCUGGCAACAGGAUGCUAAUCUCGAAAGCCGAUCUCAGUUCGGAUUGGAGCCUGCAACUCGACUCCAUGAAGUUGGAUUCGCUAGUAAUCGCGCAUCAGCCAUGGCGCGGUGAAUACGUUCCCGGGCCUUGUACACACCGCCCGUCAAGCCAUGGAAGCUGGGAGUACCUGAAGUCUGUUACCGCAAGGAGCGGCCUAGGGUAAAACCAGUAACUGGGGCUAAGUCGUAACAAGGUAACCAAGGGCGAA